UACGGAGGAUCCGAGCGUUAUCCGGAUUUAUUGGGUUUAAAGGGUGCGCAGGCGGGAUGUUAAGUCGGCGGUGAAAUUUUGCAGCUCAACUGUAAAAGUGCCUUCGAUACUGGCUUCCUUGAGUGUGGAUGAAGUAGGCGGAAUUUGUGGUGUAGCGGUGAAAUGCUUAGAUAUCACGAGGAACUCCGAUUGCGCAGGCAGCUUACUAAACCACUACUGACGCUCAUGCACGAAGGCGUGGGGAUCAAACAGGAUUAGA
Molecule: ribosomal RNA, 259 nt
Filed under: uncultured prokaryote
Description: partial 16S ribosomal RNA
Rfam family: Bacterial small subunit ribosomal RNA
Source: RNAcentral